RNAcentral lists this ribosomal RNA (440 nucleotides) under uncultured bacterium. Its description in RNAcentral is "partial 16S ribosomal RNA". It matches the Rfam family "Bacterial small subunit ribosomal RNA", at positions 338 to 795 of the family's 1533-position model. The record is from RNAcentral.
CCUACGGGAGGCAGCAGUGGGGAAUAUUGCACAAUGGGGGAAACCCUGAUGCAGCGACGCCGCGUGAGCGAUGAAGUAUUUCGGUAUGUAAAGCUCUAUCAGCAGGGAAGAAAAUGAUGGUACCUGACUAAGAAGCUCCGUCGAAUUCCGUGCCAGCACCCGCGGUAAUACGUAGGGGGCAAGCGUUAUCCGGAUUUACUGGGUGUAAAGGGAGCGUAGAUGGUCCUGCAAGCCAGAUGUGAAAGCCCGGGGCUCAACCCCGGGACUGCAUUUGGAACUGUAAGGCUAGAGUUUCGGAGAGGCAGGCGGAAUUCCUGGUGUAGCGGUGAAAUGCGUAGAUAUUAGGAGGAACACCAGUGGCGAAGGCGGCCUACUGGACGAUGACUGACGUUGAGGCUCGAAAGCGUGGGGAGCAAACAGGAUUAGAUACCCCUGUAGUC